This is a long non-coding RNA of Passer domesticus (house sparrow), 739 nucleotides long. RefSeq lists it as uncharacterized. The record is from RefSeq and is a predicted model, not a curated record. The transcript is spliced from 2 exons. Lineage: Eukaryota; Metazoa; Chordata; Aves; Passeriformes; Passeridae.
AUCCAUGUUGUCUAUAAAAAUAUGAAAUAGAACUGGUCCCAGCACAGAGCCCUGAGGGACAGCACUGGUGACUGGCCGCCAGCUGGAUGCAGCACCGUUCACCAUCACUCUCUGGGCCCAGCCAUCCAGCCAGUUCCUAACCCAGCCAAGAGUGCUCCCGCCCAAGCCGUGGGCUGCCAGCUUCUCCAGGAGUGUGCUGUGGGAGACAGUAUCAAAGGCCUUGCUGAAGUCUAAAUAGACAACAUGCACAGCCUUUCCUGCGUCCACCAGGCAGGUCACCUGGUCACAGAAGGAGACCAGGCUGGUCACACGUGGCCUACCCUUUGUAACCCCUGCUGACUGGCUCUGAUACCCUGGCCAUGCUGUGUCCCAUUGGCCAGCUUCCAAUCAUCUGGAACCUCGCCAGUGAGCCACGACUCUGGAUAAAUGAUGGAGAGCGGCUUCGCAAGCUCAUCUUCCAGCUCCCUCAUCACCCUGGCAUGGAUCCCAUCUGGCCCCAUUGAUUAAUGAAUAUCCAAGUGUCCCAUCAGUUCUCUGGCUGCCUCUUCUUGGAUAACAAGAGGACCAUUCUGCUCCCUGGCACCACCUACCAACCCCUGAGGACAAGCUGUCUUACCACCACAGACUGAGGCGAAGAAGGCAUUAAGCAUUUCUGCCUUUUCCUCAUCUUUAGUCACUAGGUUGCCUGCCUCAUUCAAUAAGGAACAGAGGUCGGAUAUACCCUUCCUUUUACCAUUAA